Molecule: transfer RNA, 88 nt
Filed under: Rhizobium etli
Lineage: Bacteria; Pseudomonadati; Pseudomonadota; Alphaproteobacteria; Hyphomicrobiales; Rhizobiaceae
Description: tRNA-Ala
Source: RNAcentral
AUAGGGAAACGUGGGGAAACUCCCGGAAAGCACGGCCCGUUGCAUGGCAUGCAAGAGGUCAGCGGUUCGAUCCCGCUUAGCUCCACCA